CAAUAGCGUAUAUUAAAGUUGUUGCAGUUAAAAGCUCGUAGUCGGAUUUCGGCAUCAUGCCGAACUGUCAGCCGAUUGGUUUGUACGGUUUGGCGGGUGCUCUCCUUCCGGAGGCUCGUUUCCCUCUUUCAUUAGAGGGUUCGAUGGUUCCGGGUCUUUUACUUUGAAAAAUUAGAGUUGUUCAAAGCAGGCCUAUGCUCUGAAUAGGUUAGCAUGGAAUAAUAAAAUAGGACUUUGGUUCUAUUUUGUUGGUUUCUAGGACCGAAGUAAUGAUUAAUAGGGACAGUUUGGGGCAGUUCAUAUUCCCAAAUUGGUCAGAGGUGAAAUUCUUG
Molecule: ribosomal RNA, 332 nt
Filed under: uncultured eukaryote
Lineage: Eukaryota
Description: bacterial SSU rRNA
Rfam family: Eukaryotic small subunit ribosomal RNA
Source: RNAcentral